GUAGUUAGCCGGGGCUUCCUCCUUGACUACCGUCACUUUCUUCGUUUGCCAAGGACAGAGGUUUACAACCCGAAAGCCUUACUUCCCUCACGCGGCGUUGCUGGGUCAGGCUUGCGCCCAUUGCCCAAUAUUCCCCACUGCUGCCUCCCGCAGGAGUCUGGACCGUAUCUCAGUUCCAGUGUGGCCGAUCAGCCUCUCAGCUCGGCUACCCAUCGUCGACUUGGUGGGCUGUUACUCCGCCAACUAUCUAAUGGGACGCGAACCCCUCUUAUACCGGAUUGCUCCUUUGACCUCAUCCCGAUGCCGAGUCGUGGUCUUAUGCGGUAUUAGCAACCGUUUCCGGUUGUUAUCCCCCUGUACCAAGGCAGGUUGUUCACGCGUUACUCACCCGUUUCGCCACUAAGUUAUCACCGAAAUCAAUAACUCCGUUCGACUUGCAUGUGUUAGGCACGCCGCCAGCGUUCGUCCUGAGCCAGGAUCAAACUCUGA
This 489-nucleotide ribosomal RNA is filed under the name uncultured bacterium. RNAcentral describes it as "partial 16S ribosomal RNA". The record is from RNAcentral.